RNAcentral lists this ribosomal RNA (625 nucleotides) under Dermabacter sp. M30-2010. RNAcentral describes it as "bacterial SSU rRNA". It matches the Rfam family "Bacterial small subunit ribosomal RNA", at positions 60 to 699 of the family's 1533-position model. The record is from RNAcentral. Lineage: Bacteria; Bacillati; Actinomycetota; Actinomycetes; Micrococcales; Dermabacteraceae.
AGUCGAACGAUGAAGCUGUGCUUGCACAGUGGAUUAGUGGCGAACGGGUGAGUAACACGUGAGUAACCUGCCCUUCACUUUGGGAUAACUCCGAGAAAUCGGGGCUAAUACCGGAUAUGACUACUGGCCGCAUGGUUGGUGGUGGAAAGUUUUUCGGUGAGGGAUGGGCUCGCGGCCUAUCAGUUUGUUGGUGAGGUAGUGGCUCACCAAGGCGAUGACGGGUAGCCGGCCUGAGAGGGCGACCGGCCACACUGGGACUGAGACACGGCCCAGACUCCUACGGGAGGCAGCAGUGGGGAAUAUUGCACAAUGGGCGAAAGCCUGAUGCAGCGACGCCGCGUGGGGGAUGACGGCCUUCGGGUUGUAAACCUCUUUCAGCAAGGAAGAAGCGAAAGUGACGGUACUUGCAGAAGAAGCGCCGGCUAACUACGUGCCAGCAGCCGCGGUAAUACGUAGGGCGCAAGCGUUGUCCGGAAUUAUUGGGCGUAAAGAGCUUGUAGGUGGCUUGUCGCGUCUGCCGUGAAAACCCGAGGCUUAACCUUGGGCGUGCGGUGGGUACGGGCAGGCUAGAGUGCGGUAGGGGAGACUGGAAUUCCUGGUGUAGCGGUGAAAUGCGCAGAUAUCA